Molecule: non-coding RNA, 2476 nt
Organism: Odocoileus virginianus texanus
Lineage: Eukaryota; Metazoa; Chordata; Mammalia; Artiodactyla; Cervidae
Source: RefSeq, a predicted model, not a curated record
UCCAGCCCCCGCCCCUGCCCCGGGAGGGGGCAGUAGGAGAAUGGGUCUUCACCUCAGUGCUAGGGCCUGCCUCUAACUAACCCUGGCCUGGCUUUGGGCCAAUUUCUCAACCUCCAGCCCCCUUCAAGGGCUGCUAUGAGGAUUAAACAAGAUAAUGUAUGUGCCUCAAAUUUUCCCACUAGAUGGUAAGUUCCUUGAGGAAAGGAACUUUGUCUUACUCAACUUUGAAACACCAAAGCCUGAUCCAUGAUAGGUGUUCAAACAGUUGUAUUUGUUCAUUCUUUUGGCAAAUCUUUCCUGUGCCAGAUUUACAGACCAGUACUAUCCUGGAUAUUAGGAUUUCAAGGAGCUUGAAAUCCACCUAACACUGGGAAUAUUAAUGAGGAGGAAGACAACAGUGGUUGGAGCAUCAAAAGGCUGCCUAUUGAAGGAAGUGGGACUCAGAGAGGCAGGAAGACCUCAGGCAAAGACCCAGGAGACAGAGUUCCCACACAGCUAGACAUUCUGCAUCAUAUAUUCUGCCCAACAGUGUCUGCGCCAUCUGAACUGACUCCAAUGUUGCCUUUUUUUUGGCCGUACCGCACGGCAUGCAGGGUCUUCAUUCCCUGACUGGCUGUGUCAAACCCGCACCCUCUGCAAUGGGAGCGCAGAGUCUUAGCCACUGGACUGCCAGGGAAGUCCCAGUGUUGACUUUUUAGCUCUGAGUGGUCAAUGAUAACACAAGAAAGCAUACUCAUCGCUGCCUCCAGAGAUUCUGCGAGAACCAACAGAAUGGUAAAUAAAUACAUUUUGGAAGAUCCCAUGUAAAGCCAAGGAGUUACUUAUAUGCUAAUGACAGUCUCUAAAGCACACUGUGAGGAACAGUGUCAAAGAGGCAUUUCAAAGAACACAUCCUUUGCAUACCGCUAGAAAAAGUUCCAAGUAAGGAAAACAAAAAUACUCAGGAAGCUCGGGCAGCUCCUGUAGCAGGGUAGGUAAGAGAAAGCAAGCCUCUCCGACUUCAAGCAAAGAGGUAAAGGCAAAGAAAAUGGUAGCAUUCGAGAAGCAUCAAGGAAGCCCAGGGAAAGAUAGGAUCCCUCCACCCCAAGCAACUCACGAUCUAGGUGGGAAGGAACCAUGUGUGUCGCUGCAACUGGCACCUUGUCAGUUGCUCUAAAAUUCACCAACCACAUGGUCUCCUUGGACCCUUAUCAAUACCCCAUGAAACAUGGCUAUUUUCAUGUUUUUCAGAUGGGAAGACUGAGGUUUGGACCUCCGUCACUUUUGCAGUGACUGGUAGAGUAGUCAGAUCUUGAGAAAUGAGAAGCUUCAAUCUUCUUACUGCACAGUAAAUAAUUCUAAACACCAUGAAAGAAAGUAUUACUUAUCCUGUGAUAUUGAGAAGGUACUCCCAGGAACCUAGAGAUCAUUUUCAGACAAACAAGGAAACAACUACUUUCCCUGAAAAGGUUGUACUGAUGAAAUAUGAACUGUUUUUAGAAAUGUUUUAGAUGGAUUCACAACUAAAAGCCACAAUGGAUUAUUGAGGGAGAAAUUAAAAGGAUAUACAGGUUUACAUUUCUAACCUUAAAAAGUUACAUAAAGUGAUAUGAAAGCCACUUCCAUUCUUCAUUCAGUCAACCUAGCGUGUCUACCUUGCAACUGAUUUUUACUGAUUAUCCACUACUUUCUGGUGCUGCCUCAGGUCUGGGGAGCAUGGUUCUGGCCUGGAAGAGCUCAGAACUCUUGGAGAUAAUUACUAUCCUAUACAGAAAAUGCAGAGAAAUGGAAGAAGUGCUAUAGCACCUCAAGGAGGAUUGGAUAUAUUCUAUUGGAGGCAGUCAAGGAAAGCUUCUCAGAUAUUUGGAUUGGACCUUACAGGUAAAGUUGUGAGCUUGCCAAGGACAGAAAGAAGAAACAGUGCAAGACUAGAGACAUGACAGAACAUGGCACACGUGGAGACCACCACAGAAUGGAGAACGUGGUGUAUGUAGAGAACCAUGGAAUAAAGGGCAGCUAUGAAAACCCACAGCUAACACUGUAUUCAUCAGUGAAAGUCUGAAAGCUCUUCCCCCAAGAUCGGGAACAAGACAAGGAUGUCUGCUCUCACCACUUCUAUUCAACGUUGUCCUGGAGGUUCUAGCCGGAGAAAUGAGGCAAGAAAAUGAGAUACAGGCAUACCUCAAAGAUACUGUAGGCUCGGUUCCAGACCACUGCAAUAAACCAAGUUACACAAAUUAUUUGGUUUCCCAGUGCAUAUAAAAGUUAUGUUUAUACUGUAUUGUAGUCUAUGAAAUGUGCAAUAGCAUUCUGUCUAUAAAAGACAGUGUACAUACCUUAAUUAAAAAUAACUUCAGUGCUACAAAAUGCUAACCAUCACCUGAGGAUUUAGUGAGUUGUAAUCUUUCCAUUGGUGGAGGGCGUGAAAUAUUGUGAGAACUGCCAGAAUUGCCAAAAUGUUACACAGAGACAUAAAUUAAGCAAAUGCUGUCUGAAA